GACGAACGCUGGCGGCGUGCUUAACACAUGCAAGUCGAACGGAGAGGCCUGCUUUCCCUUGUGGAUUGCGGGUACUCGAGUGGCGAACGGGUGAGUAACACGUGAGUGAUCUGCCCCCAACUUGGGUAUAAGCCUGGGAAACUGGGUCUAAUUCCCGAUAGGACUGCAGGGUGGUGCCUGUGGUUGAAAACGAUUUUCUAGUGGUUGGGGAUGAGCUCGCGGCCUAUCAGCUUGUUGGUGGGGUAAUGGCCUACCAAGGCGGCGACGGGUAGCCGGCCUGAGAGGGUGGACGGCCACAUUGGGACUGAGAUACGGCCCAGACUCCGACGGGAGGCAGCAGUGGGGAAUAUUGCACGAUGGGCGGAAGCCUGAUGCAGCGACGCCGCGUGGGGGAUGACGGCCUGCGGGUUGUAAACUCCUUUCGACCGCGAGGAAGCCACCUGGUUGGAAGGGUGGUGACGGUAGUGGUAGAAGAAGCACCGGCUAACUACGUG
This 494-nucleotide ribosomal RNA is filed under the name uncultured bacterium. RNAcentral describes it as "partial 16S ribosomal RNA". It matches the Rfam family "Bacterial small subunit ribosomal RNA", at positions 28 to 507 of the family's 1533-position model. The record is from RNAcentral.